Non-coding RNA from Misgurnus anguillicaudatus (oriental weatherfish), 3533 nucleotides. The record is from RefSeq and is a predicted model, not a curated record. Lineage: Eukaryota; Metazoa; Chordata; Actinopteri; Cypriniformes; Cobitidae.
GCAGGAUUAGGUGAGCUGUGAUUGACAGCUGACAUAACCUAUCAGGAAGGGGCAGUCCCUUUUUAAGCGCUGAUUGGGUGCUCCCUGCAAUGCGUCAUGUCCUGUGUUUCCCCGGGGUGUUUUUAACGAUAGCGACAGGUGAGCAUUGUGUGUAAACGUUAGUAGUUUUAAUCUGUGUUUAUUUAAAACUAAUGUUGCGUUGGUUUUAGAGCGUUUGUCUAUCGUGCUGGUGCCUUCCUGUACUUGAGUGGAUUAAAUGACUGUUUACCCUCAGUUAGCUGUUGUUUACCUGAUGUUGGUAAACCUGUGCUGUAAACUGUAAUGUGUCUGAGGUGAUGCCACUGUUUGGAUUCUCCCUUUUGUUCUACGCCGUGCUUCCUCUGUUGCUGCAGUUUGAUUUUCGCGCUGCUGUGUCGUACCGCUGACGCGACGUCACUAUCUUUACCGUGAUACCAUGGACUGUAUACUGUCUGGUUUCUAAGCUUUACUGCAAAAUUCUAUUUCUCAGUGGAGGAUUGUCCAGCACAUUGAAGCUGGCGUAUGGACUUUGUCUUCGCGUCGUAUGAUUUCUUCUGUGUAGCCCAUUUGCCAUUUAUUACUGUGUGUUAUUUUGCUUUCAGGGGCUGGGGGUUUCCACGGGCAAAGGAUCUUGUAAUGGUGGUGGUACAGCGUCAACGGUUGCCGUGCUACACAUUUUUGAUGUGUAUGAGUAUGUGCUCUGAAUUCACGGUGUGGUGUGUGCGUGCUUUUUGAUAAUUUGCGCCAGUGAUCACUCCUGUGGGAACCUCAGCCCUGUAAGUUGAUGUUUUGUGUUUUUUUAUUUGUCAUGUUGACUGUUGCCAGUCAUUGUAUUUUUUUGUAGAAAUUUAUAUUUUCUUUUCUACAGUCGUUUUGUACUUUUGUAAAAUUUUGUUUUGUGUGAUGAUGUGAUGUUUUAUGUAAUUUGUUUUGUGUCUCUUAUUGUUGGAAUAUAUAAGAGCUGUAUGGAGUAACAUCAGUCUAUGCCUGUUUUAAGACAUUCUCAUACCUCAAUGAAGGUUGCAAAAAUAAAUCUUAUAUUUUUGUAUUAUACCCACGUCUCCUGCUCUCUUGUUCUGAGGAAUGAACUUGUGUGCCUUACCACCUUUUUGGGUGUAAGGAUUAUUUCCCUGGGUGUAAGUCCCGGGGUGGCGUAGUCGGAGUUUUAUGCAAAAUCUUUGCUUUUGUCAUAAAGGUUUCCCCCAACCCCCUCGUCACUCCACCACAUUUUGGCGUAUAGUCGGCAGGAUCCUCGAAUUUUGAGUGCAGAGACGUGGGUAUUAUUUUUUUUUGUGUGUAUGUUUGUUUUGUAGGAACCAGACAGCGGCAGUUUUCGUGUCGGAAUCUCAGCACAAUUUGUUGCUGGGCUUGCGUGGUCCGAUCGGUUGCGGUAAGUGGUCCUUGGUUCUAGGAACGGAGGACGAAUCACAGUUUAAUAAAUUUAGAGGUUCCGUAAAGGUAAAUGGGUUAAGAACAAGAGGGAGAAUCUGAAUGUAUUGAUGGGUGAGGGCCAGCUGAGUUUUAUGGGCAGGGUUAAAAAAAAAUGGGGAUCGGGCAUGGCGUAUCAUUAAAGGCACCAUACAAUUGGUUGUCGUACCCUAAUCAUUCUGUAUGAUUCGUACAGUUCUGUUAUGUUUGAAGGUAGGGUAUUACCGAGAGGGUUUUGCCUGUGACUUCAACUUUAUGAAGGGGUGGGGAGGUACAAAUCGGUCCCAUGUCAUUUAUGGUCAGAUGGGGUCCCUCAGAAACCUGGGGUGGAACCAUCUGAAGAGUUUAUUGGUAGGAGAUGUACCCCCCCAGGUCAGUCAUUUUCGGAUGGGGUCCCUCAGAGUCUGAGGUGGAACCAUCUGAUGAAUGUUAUAAUGCAGGAGAUGUAUUCCCGGGUUAGUCAAUUUAAUGUUGGGGUUAGGAGGUACUAAUCGGUCCCAGGAUAUUAGUUGUCGGAUGGGGUCCCUCAGAGUCUGAGGUGGAACCGUCCGAUGAGGGUUAUUGGUAGGAGAUGUACCCCCUCAAGGGAAGUUAUUUCCAGAUGGAGAAAAACCAUCUCAUACAUUUUUAUUGCACCGGGAAGCUCUUGUUUUAGUCAUCUGUUACUGGAGAGGACGUCAGGUCAGUACUCCAACUGAUACCACUUCUUGUAAUUGGCAGGCACAGUGGUUGUGUCUUGCGGAGUGGAUUGUAAAUUUGGUGCCUUGUUCCGACCUUGGGGCUGAGCACCCUGAGGUGGGUUUUGUUUAGUUCACCGUCGGGGCGACGUUGCAGAAACUCGGGGUGGAUUGUAGCAGGAUUAGGUGAGCUGUGAUUGACAGCUGACAUAACCUAUCAGGAAGGGGCAGUCCCUUUUUAAGCGCUGAUUGGGUGCUCCCUGCAAUGCGUCAUGUCCUGUGUUUCCCCGGGGUGUUUUUAACGAUAGCGACAGGUGAGCAUUGUGUGUAAACGUUAGUAGUUUUAAUCUGUGUUUAUUUAAAACUAAUGUUGCGUUGGUUUUAGAGCGUUUGUCUAUCGUGCUGGUGCCUUCCUGUACUUGAGUGGAUUAAAUGACUGUUUACCCUCAGUUAGCUGUUGUUUACCUGAUGUUGGUAAACCUGUGCUGUAAACUGUAAUGUGUCUGAGGUGAUGCCACUGUUUGGAUUCUCCCUUUUGUUCUACGCCGUGCUUCCUCUGUUGCUGCAGUUUGAUUUUCGCGCUGCUGUGUCGUACCGCUGACGCGACGUCACUAUCUUUACCGUGAUACCAUGGACUGUAUACUGUCUGGUUUCUAAGCUUUACUGCAAAAUUCUAUUUCUCAGUGGAGGAUUGUCCAGCACAUUGAAGCUGGCGUAUGGACUUUGUCUUCGCGUCGUAUGAUUUCUUCUGUGUAGCCCAUUUGCCAUUUAUUACUGUGUGUUAUUUUGCUUUCAGGGGCUGGGGGUUUCCACGGGCAAAGGAUCUUGUAAUGGUGGUGGUACAGCGUCAACGGUUGCCGUGCUACACAUUUUUGAUGUGUAUGAGUAUGUGCUCUGAAUUCACGGUGUGGUGUGUGCGUGCUUUUUGAUAAUUUGCGCCAGUGAUCACUCCUGUGGGAACCUCAGCCCUGUAAGUUGAUGUUUUGUGUUUUUUUAUUUGUCAUGUUGACUGUUGCCAGUCAUUGUAUUUUUUUGUAGAAAUUUAUAUUUUCUUUUCUACAGUCGUUUUGUACUUUUGUAAAAUUUUGUUUUGUGUGAUGAUGUGAUGUUUUAUGUAAUUUGUUUUGUGUCUCUUAUUGUUGGAAUAUAUAAGAGCUGUAUGGAGUAACAUCAGUCUAUGCCUGUUUUAAGACAUUCUCAUACCUCAAUGAAGGUUGCAAAAAUAAAUCUUAUAUUUUUGUAUUAUACCCACGUCUCCUGCUCUCUUGUUCUGAGGAAUGAACUUGUGUGCCUUACCACCUUUUUGGGUGUAAGGAUUAUUUCCCUGGGUGUAAGUCCCGGGGUGGCGUAGUCGGAGUUUUAUGCAAAAUCUUUGCUUUCGUCACGAAGCUUUCCCCCAACCCCCUCGUC